This 634-nucleotide ribosomal RNA is filed under the name Gemmatimonadota bacterium. RNAcentral describes it as "Gemmatimonadetes bacterium (bioreactor metagenome) partial 23S ribosomal RNA". It matches the Rfam family "Bacterial large subunit ribosomal RNA", at positions 1 to 625 of the family's 2925-position model. Lineage: Bacteria; Pseudomonadati; Gemmatimonadota. The record is from RNAcentral.
GAUCAAGCUACAAAGGGCGCACGGUGGAUGCCUAGGCGAUGGGAGGCGAUGAAGGGCGUGGACAGCAACGAAAUGCUACGGGGAGCCGCUCACAGGCUGUGAUCCGUGGAUGCCCGAAUGGGGAAACCCAGCGAAGAGCGAUCUUCGUUACUCUCUGCUGAAUUCAUAGGCAGAGUAGAGCAAACCCGGGGAAGUGAAACAUCUCAGUACCCGGCGGAAAAGAGACCAAGACAGGGAUUGCCUCAGUAGCGGCGAGCGAACGGGCACGAGGCCAAACCCGAGGUAGCAAUACCUUCGGGGGUUGUAGGGCUUGCGACAUGGUAUGCACGACACGAGAAGAACAGGCUUGGAACGGCCGGCCAAAGAGGGUGACAGCCCCGUAAUCGAUGUCGAGUGCAACCUAGCGAGUACCUGAGUACCGCAAGACACGUGUAAUCUGGCGGGAAUCUGGCAGGACCAUCUGCCAAGCCUAAAUACUCCCCAUCGACCGAUAGUGAACGAGUACCGUGAGGGAAAGGUGAAAAGCACCCCGAAAGGGGAGUGAAAUAGAACCUGAAACCGUGUGCCUACAAGCACUGAGAGCACGACGCCGCAAGGCCGUGUGAUCGGGUACCUUUUGCAUAAUGGGCCUACG